This 371-nucleotide ribosomal RNA is filed under the name uncultured Bacteroidota bacterium. RNAcentral describes it as "bacterial SSU rRNA". It matches the Rfam family "Bacterial small subunit ribosomal RNA", at positions 521 to 896 of the family's 1533-position model. Lineage: Bacteria; Pseudomonadati; Bacteroidota. The record is from RNAcentral.
UAAUACGGAGGGUGCAAGCGUUAUCCGGAAUCAUUGGGUUUAAAGGGUCCGCAGGCGGUCAAUUAAGUCAGAGGUGAAAUCCCAUAGCUUAACUAUGGAACUGCCUUUGAUACUGGUUGACUUGAGUUAUACGGAAGUAGAUAGAAUGUGUAGUGUAGCGGUGAAAUGCAUAGAUAUUACACAGAAUACCGAUUGCGAAGGCAGUCUACUACGUAUAUACUGACGCUCAUGGACGAAAGCGUGGGGAGCGAACAGGAUUAGAUACCCUGGUAGUCCACGCCGUAAACGAUGGACACUAGUUGUUGGGAUUUAUCUCAGUGACUAAGCGAAAGUGAUAAGUGUCCCACCUGGGGAGUACGGUCGCAAGAUUG